GACGAACGCUGGCGGCGUGCUUAACACAUGCAAGUCGAACGGAAAGGCCCCUUUGGGGGUACUCGAGUGGCGAACGGGUGAGUAACACGUGAGUAACCUGCCCUUGACUUCGGGAUAACUUCAGGAAACUGGGGCUAAUACCGGAUAGGAAUCCUUGCUGCAUGGUGGGGGUUGGAAAGCUUCGGCGGGUUUGGAUGGACUCGCGGCUUAUCAGCUUGUUGGUGGGGUAGUGGCUUACCAAGGCUUUGACGGGUAGCCGGCCUGAGAGGGCGACCGGCCACAUUGGGACUGAGAUACGGCCCAGACUCCUACGGGAGGCAGCAGUGGGGAAGAUUGCACAAGGGGCGGAAGCCUGAUGCAGCAACGCCGCGUGCGGGAUGACGGCCUUCUGGUUGUAAACCGCUUUCAGCAGGGGCGAAGCUUGUGGUGACGGUACCUGCAGAAGAAGCACCGGCUAACUACGUG
This 465-nucleotide ribosomal RNA is filed under the name uncultured bacterium. RNAcentral describes it as "partial 16S ribosomal RNA". It matches the Rfam family "Bacterial small subunit ribosomal RNA", at positions 28 to 507 of the family's 1533-position model. The record is from RNAcentral.